This is a long non-coding RNA of Mesocricetus auratus (golden hamster), 420 nucleotides long. RefSeq lists it as uncharacterized. The transcript has 2 exons. The record is from RefSeq and is a predicted model, not a curated record. NCBI's taxonomy places the organism in Eukaryota, Metazoa, Chordata, Mammalia, Rodentia, Cricetidae.
GAAUGCCUGUCAUUUUAGGACUUUGGGAGGGGCUCACAGGACAUUGUGUUUGCUGGGAACAGUCUCUCUGCAAAUGCUUGCACUGGGUGAGGUUCGUGUGCCACAGUGUGAGUGUGUAGAGGCCAGAGGACAACUUCAUGGAUUCCUUUUUCAUCUUUCACCUUCAUGUGGGUGCUGGAGAUCAAAAUCAUCUGGAUUGUGUAGCCAGCGCUCUUCCACUGAACCAUCUCUCCAGUCCUGACUCCAGCAUUUUUAAUAUUAGACACAUUUAAGUGCUAAAUUUAAAGAGGUUGACUUGUGAGUCCGUAGCUAGUUUAUCACGGGUCGCAGUGUUGGGGGGCAGUGUUUGCAAACAUGCAUGUUGAAAGCAUUUCCCCAAAAUCUUCACAAAAUAAACAAUAAAAGAUAACAUUGAGCUUA